GGAUGUGAGGGCGAUGUGGCUAUGACAUCUGUCACUCCACUGAUCGCCAGGGUUGAUCUGGCUGGCCAGGUGGGUGUCCCCUUCCUCCCUCACUGCUCCAUGUGCGUCCCUCCCAGAGCUGCACGCUCCGUUGAAGAGGACGACCAUCCCGGAUAGAGGAGGACCGUUCUUCGGUCAAGGGUAUACGAGUAGCUGAGUUCCCCUGCUAGAACCUCCAAACAAGCUCUCAACGAACAAGCUGGGCAUGGUAAUGCACACUGGUAAUCCCAGCUAUGCAGGAAGCAUAGAU
This 289-nucleotide small nuclear RNA is filed under the name Castor canadensis (American beaver). RNAcentral describes it as "7SK RNA (ENSCCNG00000027087.1)". It matches the Rfam family "7SK RNA". From Rfam's summary of the family: 7SK was discovered as an abundant small nuclear RNA in the mid-70s but a possible function has only recently been suggested. Lineage: Eukaryota; Metazoa; Chordata; Mammalia; Rodentia; Castoridae. The record is from Rfam by way of RNAcentral.